RNAcentral lists this ribosomal RNA (1356 nucleotides) under human gut metagenome. RNAcentral's name for it is "bacterial LSU rRNA". It matches the Rfam family "Bacterial large subunit ribosomal RNA", at positions 1160 to 2531 of the family's 2925-position model. The record is from RNAcentral.
UGCGCCGAAAAUUAACGGGGCUCAAACCUGACACCGAAGCUUAGGAAUACGCGAUGCGUAUUGGUAGAGGAGCAAUGUAUACGCGCAGAAGCCGUACCGGAAGGAGCGGUGGAGUGUAUAGAAGAGAGAAUGCCGGCAUAAGUAGCGAGAGCGGAGCGAGAAACUCCGCCGUCGAAAGUCUGAGGUUUUCCGGGGAAGGUUCGUCCGCCCGGAGUAAGUCGGGACCUAAGCGGAGGCCGAAAGGCGUACGUGAUGGACAACAGGUUGAUAUUCCUGUACUACCGAGAAAGAUAAUGAUGCAGUGACACGGAAAGAUAGAAGAAGCGCGCAGAUGGAAAAGCGCGUCCAAGCAAUGAGGGCGGCUGGUAGUAAAGAACGCCAGUCAAAAAGCCUGAGUUGUGACGGGGAGUGGACCAAGGAAACGAAGUCUUCGAAUCUACGCCGGCGAGAAAAGCUGCUAAAUAUUUCGAGGUACCCGUACCGCAAACCGACACAGGUAGACGAGAAGAAAAUUCUAAGACGAACGGGAGAACCCUUGUUAAGGAACUCGGCAAAAUGACCCCGUAACUUCGGGAGAAGGGGAGCCACUGAAAGGUGGCCGCAGUAAAGAGGCCCAAGCGACUGUUUAUCAAAAACACAGGUUUCUGCUAAGGCGAAAGCCAAGGUAUAGGAGCUGACUCCUGCCCAGUGCCGGAAGGUCAAGGGGAUUCGUUAGCGCAAGCAAAGCGAUGAACUUAAGCCCCGGUGAACGGCGGCCGUAACUAUAACGGUCCUAAGGUAGCGAAAUUCCUUGUCGGGUAAGUUCCGACCCGCACGAAUGGAGUAACGAUUUGGGCACUGUCUCAACAGGGGGCCCGGCGAAAUUGUAGUAUACGUGAAGAUGCGUAUUAACCCGCGACUGGACGGAAAGACCCCGUAGAGCUUUACUGUAACUUGAUAUUGAAUCUCGGCAAUUGAUGCACAGAAUAGGUGGGAGACUGAGAAGCGGGUGUUUCGGCAUCCGUGGAGUCAACUUUGGGAUACCACUCUUCGAUUGCUGCGAUUCUAACCGAAACCCGUGAAACCGGGAACGGGACAGUGUCAGGUGGGCAGUUUGACUGGGGCGGUCGCCUCCUAAAAUGUAACGGAGGCGCCCAAAGGUUCCCUCAGAAUGGUUGGAAAUCAUUCGGCGAGUGUAAAGGCAUAAGGGAGCUUAACUGUGAGACAGACAUGUCGAACAGAUGCGAAAGCAGGGCUUAGUGAUCAGGUGGUAUGAGAAUGGAAUUGCCAUCGCUUAACGGAUAAAAGUUACCUCGGGGAUAACAGGCUUAUCUCCCCCAAGAGUUCACAUCGACGGGGAGGUUUGGCACCUCGAUG